UCCCCGGGGUCUCUCCAGAGUCGCCGCGGGACCCGCCAGGUCUUCUGGGCGUGUGAGAGCGGGUCGGUGACAGCCUCCGUUCUCUGGGCCGAACUGCUGCUGCGGACUCGUCCCAACCAGAAGGAUGAGGGCAUUUGUUCCAGGACCUGCUGCAGAUACCAGAAUCCGUGGGUGCUCAAGUCCCAUAGUCAGCCCUCCGAUUCGUGGUUCCGCAUUCAUGGAUUUAACCAUUUGCGUAUCUUGUAGUACAGCAAUAUUUUUUUUAAUUUGCAUGUAAGUGGAUCCAUGCAGUCCAAACCCAUGUUGUUCAAGGGUCAACUCUGUAACUAUAAUACAGUAUGAAAACCAGGUACACAUUGGUACAA
Molecule: long non-coding RNA, 365 nt
Organism: Camelus dromedarius (Arabian camel)
Lineage: Eukaryota; Metazoa; Chordata; Mammalia; Artiodactyla; Camelidae
Exons: 2
Source: RefSeq, a predicted model, not a curated record